GGAAUCUUCCACAAUGGACGAAAGUCUGAUGGAGCAACGCCGCGUGAGUGAUGAAGGUUUUCGGAUCGUAAAACUCUGUUGUAAGGGAAGAACAGGUAUGAGAGGUAAUGCUCAUGCUAUGACGGUACCUUACGAGAAAGCCACGGCUAACUACGUGCCAGCAGCCGCGGUAAUACGUAGGUGGCAAGCGUUGUCCGGAAUUAUUGGGCGUAAAGCGCGCGCAGGCGGCCUUUUAAGUCUGAUGUGAAAGCCCCCGGCUCAACCGGGGAGGGUCAUUGGAAACUGGAAGGCUUGAGUACAGAAGAGAAGAGUGGAAUUCCAUGUGUAGCGGUGAAAUGCGUAGAGAUGUGGAGGAACACCAGUGGCGAAGGCGACUCUUUGGUCUGUAACUGACGCUGAGGCGCGAAAGCGUGGGGAGCAAACAGGAUUAGAUACCCCGG
This 440-nucleotide ribosomal RNA is filed under the name uncultured Exiguobacterium sp. RNAcentral describes it as "bacterial SSU rRNA". It matches the Rfam family "Bacterial small subunit ribosomal RNA", at positions 358 to 790 of the family's 1533-position model. Lineage: Bacteria; Bacillati; Bacillota; Bacilli; Caryophanales. The record is from RNAcentral.